CUCGGCAGCCAUAUCACCCUGCAACUCACAGCUGGCAGCCCACUGAAGCUCAGCAGGUGUGAGCCUGGUCAGUACCUGGAUGGGAGACCUCCUAGGAAAAACUAAGGUUGCUGCAGGAA
This 119-nucleotide ribosomal RNA is filed under the name Lepisosteus oculatus (spotted gar). The record is from RNAcentral. Lineage: Eukaryota; Metazoa; Chordata; Actinopteri; Semionotiformes; Lepisosteidae.